This 358-nucleotide transfer RNA is filed under the name uncultured Microcystis sp. RNAcentral's name for it is "partial 16S-23S ribosomal RNA intergenic spacer". The stretch from base 135 to 208 matches the Rfam family "tRNA". Lineage: Bacteria; Bacillati; Cyanobacteriota; Cyanophyceae; Chroococcales; Microcystaceae. The record is from RNAcentral.
AAGGGAGACCUAAUUCCGGUAGGAGACGAAAAAAAAGUAGUCCCUACCAAGAAUCAAUCCCAAAAGGUCGAAGCGAGGCAAGAUUGGCUUUCAAACUAGGUUCUGGGUUCAAACAAGACCUGAAUCAGGAACAAGGGCUAUUAGCUCAGGUGGUUAGAGCGCACCCCUGAUAAGGGUGAGGUCCCUGGUUCGAGCCCAGGAUGGCCCACCUGCACAGGUGGCAAAAACAAAGAAGCGAGGAAUCAGCACCUUAUCUUACUCAUAUAGUAAGAGAGAAUGCUGGCUCUGAGUAAAGAGUCCAGAGGAACCUUGAAAACUGCAUAGGGCUAGGUGAAAAAGCCAAAAAAGAAGACCGCAA